Molecule: ribosomal RNA, 318 nt
Filed under: Ampheres luteus
Lineage: Eukaryota; Metazoa; Arthropoda; Arachnida; Opiliones; Gonyleptidae
Description: partial small subunit ribosomal RNA
Source: RNAcentral
CCCUAGUAUAAAAUGUUUAAUAAAUUAGUAUUAAAAUGAAAUUUAAAGAUGUUGGCGGCUAAUAAAUUUUAGAGGAGCUUGUAAUUUUAUAGAAUUAACUCUUUAAAUUUUAAUAAAAAUAUAAUUUAUUCAUCUCCGUCAUCAAAUUUUUUAAUAAAUAUUUUUAAUAUUUCAGGUCAAGAUGUAGUAUUUUAUAUAAAUUUAUUAGCUACAUUUAUAAUAAUAAAUGGAUUUAUAAAAUUUGAAAAAUUUGAUGAAAUUGAAUUUAUAUGUAAUAAAUUAAUUAGAAAAUUAUUAUGAAUUAAAUAAAUUAGUGUA